UGCGGGGUAGUGUAACUGGUAACACGCCGCGCUCUGGACGCGGAAAUCCUGGUUCGAAUCCAGGCCCCGCAACAA
This 75-nucleotide transfer RNA is filed under the name Candidatus Parcubacteria bacterium. RNAcentral's name for it is "tRNA-Gln". It matches the Rfam family "tRNA". From Rfam's summary of the family: Transfer RNA (tRNA) molecules are approximately 80 nucleotides in length. The record is from RNAcentral. Lineage: Bacteria; Candidatus Parcubacteria.